This 174-nucleotide ribosomal RNA is filed under the name uncultured bacterium. RNAcentral describes it as "partial 16S ribosomal RNA". It matches the Rfam family "Bacterial small subunit ribosomal RNA", at positions 338 to 524 of the family's 1533-position model. The record is from RNAcentral.
CCUACGGGAGGCAGCAGUGGGGAAUUUUCCGCAAUGGGCGAAAGCCUGACGGAGCAAUACCGCGUGAGGGAAGAAAGCCUACUGGGUUGUAAACCUCUUUUUUCAGGGAGGAAAAAAAUGACGUGUACCUGAAGAAUAAGCAUCGGCUAACUCCGUGCCAGCAGCCGCGGUAAU